Molecule: ribosomal RNA, 837 nt
Filed under: uncultured Actinomycetes bacterium
Lineage: Bacteria; Bacillati; Actinomycetota; Actinomycetes
Description: bacterial SSU rRNA
Rfam family: Bacterial small subunit ribosomal RNA
Source: RNAcentral
GGUAAGGCCCUUUCGGGGGUACACGAGCGGCGAACGGGUGAGUAACACGUGGGUGACCUGCCCUCAGCUCUGGGAUAAGCCCGGGAAACUGGGUCUAAUACCGGAUAUGACCUCGCGAUGCAUGUCGUGGGGUGGAAAGCCUUGUGCGGCUGAGGAUGGGCCCGCGGCCUAUCAGCUUGUUGGUGGGGUGAUGGCCUACCAAGGCGACGACGGGUAGCCGGCCUGAGAGGGCGACCGGCCACACUGGGACUGAGACACGGCCCAGACUCCUACGGGAGGCAGCAGUGGGGAAUCUUGCGCAAUGGGCGAAAGCCUGACGCAGCGACGCCGCGUGAGGGAUGACGGCCUUCGGGUUGUAAACCUCUUUCAGCUCCGACGAAGCGAGAGUGACGGUAGGAGCAGAAGAAGCACCGGCCAACUACGUGCCAGCAGCCGCGGUAUACGUAGGGUGCAAGCGUUGUCCGGAAUUAUUGGGCGUAAGAGCUCGUAGGCGGUCUGUCGCGUCGGCUGUGAAAACUCGGGGCUCAACUCCGAGCUUGCAGUCGAUACGGGCAGACUAGAGUUCUGCAGGGGAGACUGGAAUUCCUGGUGUAGCGGUGAAAUGCGCAGAUAUCAGGAGGAACACCGGUGGCGAACGCGGGUCUCUGGGCCGAUACUGACGCUGAGGAGCGAAAGCGUGCGGAGCGAACAGGAUUAGAUACCCUGGUAGUCCACGCCGUAAACGUUGGUCGCUACGUGUGAGAAUCCUUUCCACGGGUUCCGUGCCGCAACUAACGCAUUACGCGCCCCGCCUUGGGAGUACGGCCGCAGGGCUCAAACUCAUAUGAAUUGACGGGG